GCCAGACUCCUACGGGAGGCAGCAGUGGGGGAUAUUGCACAAUGGGGGGAACCCUGAUCCAGCGACGCCGCGUGAGUGAAGAAGUAUUUCGGUAUGUAAAGCCCUAUCGGCAGGGAAGAAGAAAUGACGGUACCUGAAUAAGAAGCACCGACUAAAUACGUGCCAGCAGCCGCGGUAAUACGUAUGGUGCAAGCGUUAUCCGGAUUUACUGGGCGUAAAGGGAGCGCAGGCGGCGCGCCAAGUCUGAUGUGAAACCCCGGGGCUCAACCCCGGGCAUGCAUUGGAAACUGGCGGGCUGGAGUGCCGGAGAGGUAAGCGGAAUUCCUAGUGUAGCGGUGAAAUGCGUAGAUAUUAGGAGGAACACCAGUGGCGAAGGCGGCCUGCUGGGCUUUAACUGACGCUGAGGCUCGAAAGCGUGGGGAGCAAACAGGAUUAGAUACCCCAGUAAC
Molecule: ribosomal RNA, 449 nt
Filed under: uncultured bacterium
Lineage: Bacteria
Description: partial 16S ribosomal RNA
Rfam family: Bacterial small subunit ribosomal RNA
Source: RNAcentral